This 448-nucleotide ribosomal RNA is filed under the name uncultured bacterium. Its description in RNAcentral is "bacterial SSU rRNA". It matches the Rfam family "Bacterial small subunit ribosomal RNA", at positions 355 to 825 of the family's 1533-position model. The record is from RNAcentral.
UGGGGAAUAUUGGACAAUGGGCGCAAGCCUGAUCCAGCCAUGCCGCGUGAGUGACGAAGGUCUUCGGGUUGUAAAGCUCUUUUUACCAGGGACGAUAAUGACGGUACCUGGAGAAUAAGCCCCGGCAAACUUCGUGCCAGCAGCCGCGGUAAUACGAAGGGGGCUAGCGUUGUUCGGAAUUACUGGGCGUAAAGCGCACGUAGGCGGAUUGUUAAGUCAGAGGUGAAAUCCCGGAGCUCAACUUCGGAACUGCCUUUGAUACUGGCAAUCUCGAGUCCGGAAGAGGUUAGUGGAAUUCCCAGUGUAGAGGUGAAAUUCGUAGAUAUCGGGAGGAACACCUGUGGCGAAGGCGGCCACCUGGUUGGAUACUGACGCUGAGACGCGAAAGCGUGGGGAGCAAACAGGAUUAGAUACCCUUGUAGUCCCUGAGCGGGCUGGCAAGGCGCAU